ACACUCAUGAGACGUUAUGGAUGGUGGGAUGUAAAAUGCCUAAGUAUUCUGGUCUUAAAACUGGAGGAAAACCAGUAACGUAAUUAUCACUCGCCUUUCAACACAUUUUUUCUCUUGUCUGAUGGUGUUUGAAUGGACAAAUGGCGUCAAUGUGGGUAAAAAAGUUUGAAAUGGAGUCCACGUGUGAAAAUCAGUCCGCACUACAGGAUUUUCAUGUGUAGAGUUCAGAUGUUAAUGUUACUGUACGACUUGAACCUCCUUGAACAACAAUUUGUUGCCAUACAAGUUGUUUGUUAACCUAUGCAAGACAGUCUCAAGUCCUCAUGGUUUAAGCCAAAUUGUUGGUCGUUCCUGGGUGAUGGUUUUUGGAUCAAGGGAGUCAAUCCAUGAAAUGAUAUAAAUGGUGUCUUUUUUGAACUCAUUUAGAAAAUGAUUCUUCUCAAGAUUGUAGUAAUGGAGGAAUCGUUAGUGAUGUCUUUGGGGAUUGAACGUUUUGACCUGAUGUGUUUACAUACUGAAUUCAGAUUAACAAGAAGUAAAGCAAGAGUACCGAGACAAAUUAUCAACCUCAGACAGAUCGGGGUGGAUUGACAAGAAAUAACACAAGAAAAUAUCAACCUUGGACAGAACGCAAAAAUUGGGGGUCGGUCCGCCCCCUUACCCCACUACUCCUUAAAGGAAGUGUUUAGGUAUUUUCCUCGUAGUAACUGCAAUACGCAUGUGUAUUAAGACAGACGUUCCUUUGCACAAAACGCAUGCGUUUGAAAGAAAUGUUUUUACCACAAGGUAGACAACAUUUUGGAAGACUUAUUAAAACUGCCUGAAAGAGGUGGGCGCGGUGGGGGAGGUCGGAUGGGUAAAAAAAAAAACUGUCUCAAAAUAUUGUAAUAUUACUGUCUAACAACAUUUUAAAUAGUGAUAUAACUGUUCUAAUAUAUAUGAAAAUA
Long non-coding RNA from Pocillopora verrucosa, 947 nucleotides. RefSeq lists it as uncharacterized. The record is from RefSeq and is a predicted model, not a curated record. NCBI's taxonomy places the organism in Eukaryota, Metazoa, Cnidaria, Anthozoa, Scleractinia, Pocilloporidae.